This 491-nucleotide ribosomal RNA is filed under the name uncultured bacterium. RNAcentral's name for it is "partial 16S ribosomal RNA". It matches the Rfam family "Bacterial small subunit ribosomal RNA", at positions 29 to 506 of the family's 1533-position model. The record is from RNAcentral.
AGUGAACGCUGGCGGUAGGCCUAGCACAUGCAAGUCGAACGGCAGCACAGUACGUGCUUGCUCUUACGGGUGGCGAGUGGCGGACGGGUGAGGAAUACAUCGGAAUCUACUUUUUCGUGGGGGUUAACGUAGGGAAACUUACUCUAAUACCGCAUACGACCUACGGUUGAAAGCAGUGGAUCUUCGCACCUUGCGCGAUUGUAUGAGCCGCUGGCGGAUUAGCUAGUUGGCGGGGUAAAGGCCCACCCAGGCGACGAUCCGUAGCUGGUCUGAGAGGAUGAUCAGGAACAGUGGAGCUGAGAAACGGACCAGAGACCAAGGGGAGGCAGAGGUGGGGAAAAUUGGAAAAUGGGGGCAAGACUGAACCAGGCAUACGGCGUGGGUGAAGAAGGCCUUCGGGUGGUAAAGCCCUUUUGUUGGGAAAGAAAAGCAGCAGGUUAAAACCCCGCUGAUCUGACGGGACCAAAAGAAUAAGCACCGGCAAACUUCGU